This is an RNA transcript of Rosa rugosa (rugosa rose), 2835 nucleotides long. It is a transcript of the gene named type I inositol polyphosphate 5-phosphatase 2-like, with no coding region annotated. NCBI's taxonomy places the organism in Eukaryota, Viridiplantae, Streptophyta, Magnoliopsida, Rosales, Rosaceae. The transcript is spliced from 6 exons. The record is from RefSeq and is a predicted model, not a curated record.
UUCAGCUUGCCUAACACUAUUCGACCAAACCUCCCUUUUCUCCUUCGUUCUCCGCCUCUGACAAAAGCCAUCCUCCUCUUCGUUCUCCGCCUCCGACCACAACCCUCUUCCUCGUCUCCGUUCUCCGGCUACAAUCACAACCCGACCCUCCUCGUCCUCAGCCUUUUCUGCCUCGGACCAGCUCCUCUGCUCGAAGACGGUGAAGAGAAUCAGCCUCUUCGUUCUCCCCCUCCGACAAAAACCAUCCUCCUCUUCGUUCUCCGCCUCCUCCAUAAUCCUCCUCCUCAGUUAUACUAGUUGGGUUUUGGUUUCUAGGCUUGGUUUUGGGUGAUUGCUCUCAGUCUGGAACUGGGUUUGUUUUAUUUUGAAUUGCAAGUGUGUGAUAUAGUUGCUUAUCUCUGUAGAUUUGAUGAAUGGGGUCUUGGGUUUUGUGGUGUUUACACGGAGAGUGGCUUUUGGGGCUGGUCUAUAUAUUCAUGGCAUAUUUUGGGUUUUAGAAGCAGAAUAUGUGUGAUUCUCUUGGGGUGAAUAGCACAAUAUGAUCUUUGGUUUCAGUAUUUUAUUAGAUUUUCUGCAAUAUAUUCUGGUCGAUUCAUCAUAUUUCAGUUCAAUUUUGUACUAACUUUUUUGUUUGUAGUUGAUGUUUGGUUGUUCAUAACUGCAAUAAACUUAAAAUUUUACGUUUUUAGUGUCUGUUGGAUUGAGAGAAGACGCAGGGGGAAAUGGUUUUAUCUUGGGUUUUCUUCUUUCUGAGGUGUAUUACAAAUCCUUGUAUCUUUGUGUUUUAGUAUGAAACUCCAAAUCAACCGUAUAGUACAACUGUACAACCCUUGAAAUAGUAAUACAUUGCUUGGUUAAAGAACAAAAAUUGGCAAGUGAAGAAAACAAGGCGAUUUUGAUGAGUUGCUUUCUUUUAAUUUUGUAUGGAUGUGGGUGCAGGUUGAUGAAGUUGUACGCGAUGCAUGACUUUAAUCGGAUAGAGUACUGCUCAUUCGAGUGUAGAUUUUGGUCCAGAAGGUUUUGUCCACACCUUAUUUGUCUGAUUUCAUUGCUGCAUUUUUAUGUUUUCAUUCUUUUCUAAUGUAGAUCAUUGUGGCCUGGUACUCAGCAGAUUGAAAUGUAGCUUUGAUCUGUUUAGCACCCGAUGUCCUAGUACUUGGCUCAUAUAAAAUUGCAACUGCAGGCAGUGGUGUUUUCAAGUUAAUUUGUUUUCCCGCUGCGGAUAACAAAAGUACGUAGCUAGAUCAUUUUAUGCUACACGAGUGGAAAAAUAUCAUUUCAGCAUAUACUUCACUCAUUAUGUUAUCAACAUGAAUUUUCUAUCACGAGUUCGCUUAGAGUACAUUGAUAUUGAGAUUUUUUUCACUGGUUUGUCAUUAUAUGAGGUUGAUGAUCUAGCAGCUGAGGCCGCAAUGAUUGAUCUAGCUGAUGUGCUAACAUAUCACGACGUUAAAAAUAACUGCCUAAAGGGAUUCCAACAGUCAUCUCAUAAAAUUCCUACCAUUAAUGAAGAGAUACUUGAUAUGCUCACAGUCAUGAUCAAGCACAUUUUUACCAAUGGGUAUCUCUAAAGUCUAUACUUUUGAUUCUCAGAAUUUCUCUUUGUAUGUCUCUGUCCUGAAAUUUUAGAAACAUCAUUAACUAGUUCAUGCUCUCAUCAUUGUAGUUGUUCUGUGUUACUCUAAGUUCCAAUUCAAAAACCUGACCGAUGCUGUGGAACAAAAACAGAUUACUUGUAAAAGCUCAAUGUACAAUAUAAGAUGGUUAGACUGUUUCACUGUUGCAAUCCCUGUUUAAUACCCCUUCAUUAAUCAUGCAAGUACCAAUGAAAAGAGGUCUUUAGCUUAAUUUGCAAGAUUCUAUAAUAUUUGUCUAUUGAAUUCCUGUUUUAAAUUAGCUUUAGAUCUAACUUUCGGACAUUUGGUACUCCACUGUAAUUCCAAUGUUUAUUGGCAGGGGGAUCUCCCUAAUAUAUCUGGUUCCUAAGCUUCUUACAGCAGGUUUUUGCUCCUUAUCAUGAGGUUGUCCGCGUCAGUGUCUAUGCUAUCAUGGCUGCCCUUCCUACGAUGGCCACUGCUGAGGAAACCUAAUAAAUGAACAUGGUUGAUAGACUAGAAGAGUUGGUUGAUUGUGACUACGAACAGAAUGCUGCAAAUAUUUCUGGUAGUAAUUCAGGAAACUUGUUUGAGCAAAGUGUAGAUUGACACUCGUGCUUCGGAUAAUGUUCGAGCAGAUUCUGGCCAUAAGCUAUAUCUGCUGCAACCAGUAGUAUUUUCAACUGAUAUUUUGCCCUUGGGGAUAACAAAAGACCCAAGAUUUGUUCUGCUAUAUAAAAUCGAAUUCGUCUCCAGAUGUAAUUACUCAUAAUGGUUAUUACCGAGGUAAUUAAGAAUUCAGUCCACAGCAUACUGUAAAUUAUAAUCUAAGAUCAAAAUGAUCCUUGAGAUCCGCCUUCUUUUGGCUAUCAGUUAAGACAUAGGAGAGGAAAAUCAGAAACUACUCGUGCUCAGUACAUAAACACAAAGGAUGUGAGGCUGACAAUAAGCACUUGGAAUGUUGCUGGAAGAGUUCCGGAUGAAAACCUUGAUAUUGAUGAUUGGAUUUCUUCAGAAGAGCCAUCGGGUAUCUACAUUUUCGGGUGAAAACAGAAGAACAAAUGGGAUAUAAGUAUGGCGAGGCUUGCUUUCGUUUAUGUUUCUAGUAUUAUGUACCAUUUAGACUUAAAUUUUUGUUUUAUUUCGACAUGUUAUGCAUAGAAAUACUUGGGAUGUUGUUAUGUACUUUGAGCAUCAAUAUUAAUCAAAAUUUAUUUACUUACGAUAUGUAUUCUCAUUA